This 1656-nucleotide long non-coding RNA is filed under the name Physcomitrium patens. RNAcentral's name for it is "long non-coding RNA (PPAT_LNC009016)". The record is from RNAcentral. Lineage: Eukaryota; Viridiplantae; Streptophyta; Bryopsida; Funariales; Funariaceae.
CAACUGUUAUUGGGUUACUUGAACAUUUUCAGUCACAAAAAGAGGAACUGUGUGAAAUUGACAUGAAAUAAAUUUCAAACAAGAUAAAUUCAAUAUUUGAUAUUUGACAUCAAAUUGUAUGCACCCAGGCCUUGUUGAUACAGAGGUUAGUUUUCAUCUAGAGCAAGACACAAUUGAUGCUGCAAGUUGAAACCAUAUUUGAUUUAAUUGCAUAUUAAAUUUCAUAUUAACUUUCAUAUUAUAUUUCAUAUUACAUUUUAUGUUACAUUGCUUAUAUUUAUGCUUUUCCAAAAAAGUAUCAUGAUCGUUUUUACAUGAUCGUUUUAUCAGAUUUGAGUUUCAAGUUUGAUUUUUAGAGUUGAUUGAAUAUUGCAUUUAUCAUAUUACAUUUCAAAUUAUAUUACAUAUUAAUAUUUCAUAUUACACAUUCCAUAUCUCGUAUUAUAUUAUAUUUUAUACCUAAAGGUUGUAUUGAAAUUUAAAUUCUAUCGCAAUUAUAUCAAUGAUUGGUAGCUGGGGAUUUUCUGAGACAAUACAUUGCUAAGUCUAUUUCCAAAAAAAAUCAUAAAAAAUUUCAUCUAAUUUCAUUCAAUUUUAUCCGAGAGGCAUAAGUACAUCCAUCAUGCUCCAUGUUUCUUUUCCCAUAUUUUUGAGGUAGAUAUUUUGUGGUAUAGCAACAUUCAAGGAUUUUAAAUUUUACAACUCUUUUUAGAAAAUCUUAAUUUAUUUAUUUAUUUUUGAAUAAUGAGCAUGUUAUUGUUUAAACUUUGCCAGGAGAUUUAUGAUUAUUUCAUCCUGAUUGAAUGAAAUUUACUUUUUUUGUAAAAAUUGUCUAUUUAUGCUUUAAAACUUAUUGUGAAACUUGAAGCCAAUGCAAGUCAAAAACUAGAUUUUAAAAAUUUUAUUUUUAUUUUUAUUCAUCACUUUAUUUUCAUCCAAGGUAGAAAGUACAUCCAUCUAAUUUCAUCCAAUAGGCGUAAAUGCAUCCAUUAAGCUACAUGUUUCUUUUUCCAUGUUUUUGAAGUGGAUAUAAAUUUCACAUAGAAUUUGAAAUCACAGCUGAAGCAUCCAGAAGAGGUCCAACAGCUACAUGGGGUUUGACAAGCAAAAUAUUACAGUUACAACUUGGUCUUCAGACAUAAAUUUAUAAAAGAAAUGUCAAUUUAAUUCCACCAUGAAGAAGCUAAUCUCUCAAUAUAACUCAGUUCCAGAGUAUAGAAUGGCCACAGCAUGUUGCAAGCUGAACAGAUCAAUGCAAUUCCAAGCCUCCUCAAGCGAAGAUAAUGGAGUGGCAAAUUCAAUUUGCAACCAAUUGGGUGAACUAAAAGCAGCACCUGUACAUAUGAACUAUGUAAGACUCUACACUUGGAAUAUCUAUCCUUCAAAAUAAAUAAAAUAAAAAAUAAAAAAAUAGAUAGAUAACUGUGAUAAACGAUCCUUGAGAUGAGAGUUGACGUUAAUCUCGUAGUACAACAAUAAACUUGUCUUCCACAAACAAAGAUGCAAACUCCAAGUCAUUUGUUAUGUCCAUAAACACAAAAGGAUCAAUUUUCACCUGCAAAAUAGAAAACUAAAAAGUUAAAAUGAUGAAGGCUAAAGAAUGCCAACUAGAUGAUUGAAAGUGUGACUUUGGAAAUGAAGGCUUCCUAAGCUACU